GUACACACCGCCCGUCACACCAUGGGAGUUGGUCAUACCCUAAGACGGCUGCGCUAACCGCAAGGAGGCAGCCGGYCACGGUAUGGUCAGCGACUGGGGUGAAGUCGUAACAAGGUAGCYGUAGGUGAACCUGCAGAAGGAUCA
Molecule: ribosomal RNA, 144 nt
Filed under: uncultured eukaryote
Lineage: Eukaryota
Description: partial small subunit ribosomal RNA
Source: RNAcentral